RNAcentral lists this ribosomal RNA (804 nucleotides) under uncultured Bacteroidota bacterium. Its description in RNAcentral is "bacterial SSU rRNA". It matches the Rfam family "Bacterial small subunit ribosomal RNA", at positions 1 to 799 of the family's 1533-position model. Lineage: Bacteria; Pseudomonadati; Bacteroidota. The record is from RNAcentral.
AGGGAGUUUGAUCCUGGCUCAGGAUGAACGCUAGCUACAGGCUUAACACAUGCAAGUCGAGGGGCAACAUGGGGUUUGCUUGCAAACUCCGAUGGCGACCGGCGCACGGGUGAGUAACGCGUAUCCAACCUUCCCCUUAGUAGGGCAUAGCCCGGCGAAAGUCGGAUUAAUACCCUAUGUUGUAUGACGAUGACAUCAGAAUUAUACCAAAGAUUAAUCGCUAAGGGAUGGGGAUGCGUCUGAUUAGGUUGUUGGCGGGGUAACGGCCCACCAAGCCUACGAUCAGUAGGGGUUCUGAGAGGAAGGUCCCCCACACUGGUACUGAGACACGGACCAGACUCCUACGGGAGGCAGCAGUGAGGAAUAUUGGUCAAUGGACGAGAGUCUGAACCAGCCAAGUAGCGUGCAGGAAGACGGCCCUAUGGGUUGUAAACUGCUUUUAUCAGGGGAUAAAGUGGGAAACGUGUUUUCCAUUGCAGGUACCUGAUGAAUAAGGACCGGCUAAUUCCGUGCCAGCAGCCGCGGUAAUACGGAAGGUCCGGGCGUUAUCCGGAUUUAUUGGGUUUAAAGGGAGCGCAGGCGGGCGUUUAAGCGUGCUGUGAAAUGCCGCGGCUCAACCGUGGAAGUGCAGCGCGAACUGGAUGUCUUGAGUGAGUACGACGCGGACGGAAUUCGUGGUGUAGCGGUGAAAUGCUUAGAGAUUACACAGAACACCGAUUGCGAAGGCAUCUCACGAAGGGUUGAUUGACGCUGAGGCACGAAAGCGUGGGGAUCGAACAGGAUUAGAUACCCUGGUAGUCCCCU